AAAGCCGACACCUAUUGAGUUGCAGUUAAAAUGAGGGCGAAAAAGGCUUUUGUUUCAGUUCUGCAGAUGGUCUGGGAGUUUGUGUUUCUUAGCAAGAAUUUUCUAGACGUUUUGGCUUGAACCAUCUGAAAAACUGCCUCAAGCUUUUGCAUGGUUCCCACUGGGUGGGCUGGGUUGGGAGGGGCUGUCGUGCAUGGUCCGGGAAAGCUGGAGAAGGCUGUUCCUUCACCCCGAGCCUUGGAUUUCUUAUCUGUGAAAUGGGAGGCUGCAAUGAUGAAUGGCAAAGUACCUUUUUUUUUCAGCUCUGAAAGUCUAGGAUAUUUUGCCACUGGAAGACCAGCAGACAAUGUCAUGACAACUCAAGAGGAUACAACAGGGCUGCAUCAAAAGACAAGUCUUUGGACCAUGUCAAGACCUGGAGCGAAGAAGGUAAUGAACUCCUACUUCAUAGCAGGCUGUGGGCCAGCAGUUUGCUACUACGCUGUCUCUUGGUUAAGGCAAGGUUUCAGUAUCAACCUGACUUCUUUUGGAAGGAUCCCUUGGCCUCACGCUGGAGUGGGCACCUGCCCUAGCCCACAGAGCUGGAUUUCUCCCUUUCUUCAAUCACACAGGGAGCACCACUAUGCAAAGACCUCAUCACAUUCACAGCCGUCUCCGCAGAGCCUCGCACUGUGCUUGGCAUAUAGCAGGUGCUCAAUAAAUAUCUGCCAAAUGACUGAAUGCAUCUCGCUAGCCUCAGGAUGCCACCAGGCCCUGAGGGAGCCAGGAAGAUCAGAGGAAAGCUUUUGGAUUCCUGCCACACCUUACAUUAGCAACAUCUUCUCCGAGUCCUGACAGCCAGCCUCCUGGGACACCAUUCAAGCCAGCUGAAUUCCGGUCACCGCUUCACCUUGGAAAGGCAUCCGCAGCCCUCACCAAGCGGCCCCGUAAUUGACGUCACAGCGGGGCCAGGAGCUGCCCUGUUAAUAUUUAAUGUGGCCUUCACUGCGCAAAAUGCAGCCUCUAAGAGCUGGAGGGGCCGUGCAGAGUCUCCAUGGGGUUGUGAGGAGGGCACAGAAGGGAAAGGGCUUUAUAAACCAUAAAGCGCCCAACAGAUGAGCAUUCUGCCGACCCAUUUCAGUCCCUGGCUUAACUCAGAAAGAGCCGGGGCUGCACAUGCCUGCAGUGGGACAAGAAGACUGCUGACCAAGCCCGAACACUAAAUCAAUGGGGGAUUAGGGGCUCCUGGGUACAUUCCAUUGAGACAGCGGGAGAGCAGAGCACUGGUGCCAGCCCAACCUGGACUCCACUCCAGGUUUGCCCCCUGCACAGCUGUGUGACUGGGUCAGCAAGUGCACUGCUGAGCCUCAGUCCCCCUUAUCUGUGAAAUGGGAAUGAUGCUUUCCUUGUAGCACUGCUGUGAAGAUUCAAUGAAACGAGUGAUGCCGAAGACCUAGCUUCACCCAUCGCAGGCUGUCAACACAGGCUGAGACCCUUCUCCAAAACCAGGCCUGGGACCUGAGGUUGGAGAGAGGAGACACGGGGUCCCUUCAGGCAUUCACUGGGCAGAGUGAUGGUGGGAGGGAAGAAGGAGCAAGGAGGCACAGGAAGGAUGACCUGGGAGCCAAGCAUCUCAGGUUUGGACUUUUCACCCUGGUGGGCCCACGCCAGGAGAGGUAUCAGAGAGAGGAUGGGUGGAGGGCCCCAGGAUGGCAGAAGCAGAAGGGCCCUCAUGGACAAUCUCUCUGAUCAUCUGACCCCUUUGUUUGGCAGAUGAGCAUCUGGGAGGGAGUAAACCAUGCCAGGGGCUCACAUGGCACAGCUGGGGUCUGACUGGCCUGCAGCCCUCUGGGGCUUCAUCAGCUAGGGUUUAUCCAAGGCCACAUGCCUAGUCCGGGAGGCAGAUGUGUUGGAAGACAUGAUGCAAUGGCCCCAUUCCUGGUGGUGACCUCCACUUCUUUGGCCAGGACAAUAGGAGGAACCUCAUCCCCCGCCCCUUCCUGGUCUCCCUCCAGUCUAUUUUCCCACGAAUCCUGGGAGCUUCCCAAAACGUAAAUCUGACCUUGUCCUCGCCCUGCUUAAAACCUUUCCAUGAUCCCACACUUAAGGUCUCCAGAGAAAAUACAGGAGGCUCAGUUAAAACUGAAUUUCAAGCUGGGUAUGGUGGCACACACCCGUAGUGCUACUCAACAGGCUGAGGCAGGAAGAUUGCUUGAGGCCAGGAGUUUGAGGCCAGCCUGGGCAACAUAAUGUGACCCUGUCUUAAAAACAAAACAAAACAAAAAGAAAAACAAAAAAACCCCUGAAUUUCAGACAAACAAUGAAUAAUAUUUUAGUAUAGGAAUGUCCCAGAAAUUGCAUACACAUACUACAGAAAUUAUUUGUUGUUCAUAUGAAAUCCAAAUUUAACAGGACAACCUGUAUUUUAAUUUGCUAAAUCUGGUGUUCCUACAUACAUUGCCCUCAGGAAAAAGGACAAAGCCUUUUUUUUCUUCCUUUCUCUUUGAGACGGAGUCUCAAAAGCCUGUCGCCCAGGCUGGAGUGCAGUGACACCAUCUCAGCUCACUGCAAGCUCUGCCUCCCAGGUUUAAGCGUUUCUCCUGCCUCAGCCUCUUGAGUAGCUGAGACUACAGGCAUGCACCACCAUGCCCAACUAAUGUUUGUAUUUAUAGUGGAGACAGAAUUUCACCAUGUUAGCCAGGCUGGUCUCGAACUCCUGGCCUCAAGUGAUCUGCUUGCCUUGGCCUCCCAAAGUGCUGGGAUUACAGGUGUGAGCCACCGCGCCUGGCCAGGAAAAAGGACGAAGUCUUUAGUUAGCCCAUGAGACCAGUUUGGCCCUGAGCUCAUCCCUCCACUCUCUUCCACAUGGACCCUCUGCUUUAGACACAGCUCAUUGCCUUUACUUGAGAAACUCAAGCCCUCCCUCCCCUCUGUCCUUUGCAGAUGUCCUUUCAUUGGAACCCUCUUGGUAUCAUCUCCUCCUCCCAGUGCCCCACUGUGCUUGACCUGACUCAUCCUCAGGCCUCUGAAGCAUCAUCACUUCAAGACCUGUGUUGUGUCUCCUCUGGAUCCUCACAGUGCCUCUGUCUGUCCCGUUCACGUGGCGUAUGUAGGGGUUCAGCAAACAUUUGUUGCACUGAAUUACUAAAUUCCACAGCCGCUUAUACUUUUCCUAUCAACAGUUUCCCCUCCUUCAGCCAAAUCCUAUGUGCCCCUCAAAGCCCUGUUGGAACCCCAUCUCCUCCAGGCCUUCCCUGAGCCCCACAGUCCUCCCAGCUCUUUUCUUCUGAGAUGCAUCUGGUAUGUCUCAGUCACAUCCGGGGCAGCAAGCAAUCUUUUUAUCCCAUAAGCUUGGCAAGAUCAGCAACCCUCAGACUCCCCAGCUAUGACCUGUGGUGCUGAGCACUGUGCCUUCCUGCCAGACAGUGCUCAACAAACGCUGGUGAGCUUGGGGGAAGCCAAGCUGAGCUCCUGUGUUGGCCUCUCCUCCCUGCCACUGGCCAAUAACCAAAAUCCUAACCCAGCCUUGAAGCAAAGCAUCUUACAUCCUGUAUUCCUAUAAGGAGCCAGGGAGACAUCCUUAGUUCCCACUUUACAGGACAGGAAACUAAGGGAGUAGAGGAACCCAUUUGUAUUAGCCAGGGUUCUCUAGAGGGACAUAAUUAAUGGCAUAUAUAUAUAUAUGUGUAUAUGUGUAUAUAUAUGUAUAUAUAUGGGUGUAUGUAUAUAUAUGUGUGUAUAUAUAUAUAUAAAGGGGAGUUUAUUACAUAUUAACUCACACGAUCACAAGGUCCCACAAUAGGCCGUCUGCAGGCUGAGGAGCAAGAAGAGCCAGUCCCAGUUUCAAAACUGAGGAACUUGGAGUCCGAUGUUCGAGGGCAGGAAGCAUCCAGCACAUGAGAAAGAUGUAGGCUGGGAGGCUAGACCAGUCUCUCUUUUACAUUUUUUCUGCCUGUUUACAUUCUAGCAGCACUGGCAGCUGAUUAGAUGGUGCCCACCCAGGUUAAAGGUGGGUCUGCCUUUCCCAGCCCACUGAGUCAAAUGUUAAUAUCCUUUAGCAACACUCUCACAGACACACCCAGGAUCAAUACUUUGUAUUCUUCAGUCCAAUCAAGUUGACACUCAGUAUCAACCAUCACACCAUUGUUCAAGGCUCAGGUCUCUGGAUGCCAUCCUAACCCAGGGUCUUUGCAGGUGCUUUUCCUCUGCCCGGAACACUCUUCCCAGAGAUCUCGACAUGGAUGAUGUCGCAGAUUAAAGAUGGCCACAUAGGCCAGGCAUGGUGGCUGACACCUGUAAUCCCAGCACUUUGGGAGGCCAAGGCAGGAAGACAGCCCCAGGCAUAAGUUCAAGACCAGUCUGGGCAUCAUAGUGAGACCCCCAUUGCUACAAAAAAUAAGAAAAAAAUAGCCAGGCAGGGUGGCACACUCCUGUAGUCCCAGCUACUCAGGAGGCUCAGGUGGGAGGAUCGCUUGAGAUGAGGAGUUUGAGGAUGCAGUGAACUAUGAUUGUGUUGCUAUAGUCCUGCCUGGGCAACAGGGCAAGAUAGCGUCUUGCUGGUGUUGUGGUGCAUGCCUACUCAGGAGGCCAAGGCAGGAGGAUUGUUUGAGCCUGGGAGCUUGAGGAUGCAGUGAGCUAUGAUCGUGCCAGUGUACUCCAGCGUGGGCAAUGGAGUG
Long non-coding RNA from Homo sapiens (human), 4655 nucleotides. Ensembl annotates it as YWHAH antisense RNA 1. Its record names the gene YWHAH-AS1. Lineage: Eukaryota; Metazoa; Chordata; Mammalia; Primates; Hominidae. The record is from Ensembl.